RNAcentral lists this ribosomal RNA (245 nucleotides) under uncultured bacterium. RNAcentral describes it as "partial 16S ribosomal RNA". It matches the Rfam family "Bacterial small subunit ribosomal RNA", at positions 524 to 768 of the family's 1533-position model. The record is from RNAcentral.
UACGGAGGGUGCGAGCGUUGUUCGGAAUUACUGGGCGUAAAGCGCGUGUAGGCGGCUCGUUGAGUCCGAUGUGAAAUCCCUGGGCUUAACCCAGGACGUGCAUUGGAUACUGGCGGGCUUGAGUACGGGAGAGGAGAGUGGAAUUCCUAGUGUAGAGGUGAAAUUCGUAGAUACUAGGAGGAACACCGGUGGCGAAGGCGGCUCUCUGGCCCGAUACUGACGCUGAGACGCGAAAGCGUGGGGAG